UGGGGAAUUUUGGACAAUGGGCGAAAGCCUGAUCCAGCAAUGCCGCGUGAGUGAAGAAGGCCUUCGGGUUGUAAAGCUCUUUUGUCAGGGAAGAAACGGUGAGGGCUAAUAUCUCUUGCUAAUGACGGUACCUGAAGAAUAAGCACCGGCUAACUACGUGCCAGCAGCCGCGGUAAUACGUAGGGUGCAAGCGUUAAUCGGAAUUACUGGGCGUAAAGCGUGCGCAGGCGGUUAUGCAGGACAGAGGUGAAAUCCCCGGGCUCAACCUGGGAACUGCCUUUGUGACUGCAUAGCUAGAGUACGGUAGAGGGGGAUGGAAUUCCGCGUGUAGCGGUGAAAUGCGUAGAGAUCUGGAGGAAUACCGGUGGCGAAGGCGGCCCCCUGGACAAAGACUGACGCUCAGGUGCGAAAGCGUGGGGAGCAAACA
This 427-nucleotide ribosomal RNA is filed under the name uncultured bacterium. Its description in RNAcentral is "bacterial SSU rRNA". It matches the Rfam family "Bacterial small subunit ribosomal RNA", at positions 355 to 774 of the family's 1533-position model. The record is from RNAcentral.